UAAUGAUGUCGGAAAUGGUAGGCUAUCAAACAAAAUAGAAAUGGUUAAGUGUGGCUAUAUAGAUAUGGUCCUUCAGGCAACAAGCAAUGCUUUUACAAACCCAAAAUGAAUUUCAAUCACUCUUUUUUUUUUUCAAUUUCGAUUUUUUUUCUUCUUUUUUUUAAUUCCGAAUUUUUUUCUUCCUUUUUUUUCUUCAAUACUAAAUACAAAUAGUAAAAAUAAAUUGAAUACAAACUUUUUUUUUGAAUUUUUUUUUCGAAUUUUUUUUUCAAGUUUUUUUUUAUUUUUUUACAAUACCGUAAUACCAAUAACGUCGAUCUUACUCCGAUUCAGCUAGCUCUGAUACCAAAUGAUGCGAUCCGGCCUCGGUGAU
This 373-nucleotide long non-coding RNA is filed under the name Gossypium raimondii (Peruvian cotton). Its description in RNAcentral is "long non-coding RNA (GRAI_LNC000547)". The record is from RNAcentral. Lineage: Eukaryota; Viridiplantae; Streptophyta; Magnoliopsida; Malvales; Malvaceae.